UACGAAGGGGGCUAGCGUUGCUCGGAAUCACUGGGCGUAAAGGGUGCGCAGGCGGUUCGUUAAGUCAGAUGUGAAAGCCCCGGGCUCAACCUGGGAACUGCAUUUGAAACUGGCGGGCUUGAGUAUGGCAGAGGGGGGUGGAAUUCCGCGUGUAGCAGUGAAAUGCGUAGAGAUGCGGAGGAACACCGAUGGCGAAGGCAGCCCCCUGGGCCAAUACUGACGCUCAGGCACGAAAGCGUGGGGAGCAAACAGG
This 253-nucleotide ribosomal RNA is filed under the name uncultured bacterium. RNAcentral's name for it is "partial 16S ribosomal RNA". It matches the Rfam family "Bacterial small subunit ribosomal RNA", at positions 524 to 776 of the family's 1533-position model. The record is from RNAcentral.